RNAcentral lists this ribosomal RNA (253 nucleotides) under uncultured bacterium. Its description in RNAcentral is "partial 16S ribosomal RNA". It matches the Rfam family "Bacterial small subunit ribosomal RNA", at positions 524 to 776 of the family's 1533-position model. The record is from RNAcentral.
UACAGAGGGGGCAAGCGUUGUUCGGAAUUACUGGGCGUAAAGGGCGCGUAGGCGGCCCGCUAAGUCGAACGUGAAAUCCCCGGGCUCAACCCGGGAACUGCGUCCGAUACUGGCAGGCUUGAAUCCGGGAGAGGGAUGCGGAAUUCCAGGUGUAGCGGUGAAAUGCGUAGAUAUCUGGAGGAAUACCGGUGGCGAAGGCGGCAUCCUGGACCAUUACUGACGCUGAGGCGCGAAAGCUAGGGGAGCAAACGGG